This 797-nucleotide ribosomal RNA is filed under the name uncultured bacterium. RNAcentral describes it as "bacterial SSU rRNA". It matches the Rfam family "Bacterial small subunit ribosomal RNA", at positions 8 to 787 of the family's 1533-position model. The record is from RNAcentral.
AGAGUUUGAUCCUGGCUCAGGAUGAACGCUGGCGGCGUGCCUAAUACAUGCAAGUCGAGCGAACGGACGAGAAGCUUGCUUCUCUGAUGUUAGCGGCGGACGGGUGAGUAACACGUGGAUAACCUACCUAUAAGACUGGGAUAACUUCGGGAAACCGGAGCUAAUACCGGAUAAUAUUUUGGACCGCAUGGUUCAAAAGUGAAAGACGGUCUUGCUGUCACUUAUAGAUGGAUCCGCGCUGCAUUAGCUAGUUGGUAAGGUAACGGCUUACCAAGGCAACGAUGCAUAGCCGACCUGAGAGGGUGAUCGGCCACACUUGAACUGAGACACGGUCCAGACUCCUACGGGAGGCAGCAGUAGGGAAUCUUCCGCAAUGGGCGAAAGCCUGACGGAGCAACGCCGCGUGAGUGAUGAAGGUCUUCGGAUCGUAAAACUCUGUUAUUAGGGAAGAACAUAUGUGUAAGUAACUGUGCACAUCUUGACGGUACCUAAUCAGAAAGCCACGGCUAACUACGUGCCAGCAGCCGCGGUAAUACGUAGGUGGCAAGCGUUAUCCGGAAUUAUUGGGCGUAAAGCGCGCGUAGGCGGUUUUUUAAGUCUGACGUGAAAGCCCACGGCUCAACCGUGGAGGGUCAUUGGAAACUGGAAAACUUGAGUGCAGAAGAGGAAAGUGGAAUUCCAUGUGUAGCGGUGAAAUACGCAGAGAUAUGGAGGAACACCAGUGGCGAAGGCGACUUUCUGGUCUGUAACUGACGCUGAUGUGCGAAAGCGUGGGGAUCAAACAGGAUUAGAUACCC